UACGGAGGGUGCGAGCGUUUGUCCGGAAUCACUGGGCGUAAAGGGCGCGUAGGCGGCUCAUGAAGGCUGUGGUGAAAGUCCGGGGCUCAACCUCGGAUCGGCCGUGGCGACUCGUGGGCUGGAGCACUGUAGAGGCGGGUGGAAUUCCGGGUGUAGCGGUGGAAUGCGUAGAGAUCCGGAAGGAACACCAGUGGCGAAGGCGGCUACCUGGCCUAAUACUGACACUGAGGCACGAAAGCGUGGGGAGCGAACAGG
Molecule: ribosomal RNA, 255 nt
Filed under: uncultured bacterium
Lineage: Bacteria
Description: partial 16S ribosomal RNA
Rfam family: Bacterial small subunit ribosomal RNA
Source: RNAcentral